Molecule: long non-coding RNA, 7348 nt
Organism: Megalobrama amblycephala (Wuchang bream)
Lineage: Eukaryota; Metazoa; Chordata; Actinopteri; Cypriniformes; Xenocyprididae
Exons: 3
Source: RefSeq, a predicted model, not a curated record
UCACAGCAGUGUGGGCGGCAUCAAAUGUUUGUUUACAGUAUAUCGCUGGUCACGCAUUUCGAACUUCAUUUUCCACAUAAACAAAGAACGAAAAAGAACUUCGUUUGAAGUAUACCGGGGCCUUUAGGAGUAACUGAAUUCACGGACACUCUGACACUUCAGCAAUUGAGUGAAGUAACCAGAACACAAUACCAGAGUCUAAAAAAAACCUUUUUCACUGAAAUUGGACAGUUGAAACAUGCUGUAGAUACUUCCACUUUGAAUGUGGAUACUGCAUCUGCAAAAAAAACAACAGAAAUAAAACAGCUUAUGAAUAAUCAGUUUUAACACUUUAGGAAGGAGUUUAAUAACUACUGCAUUGGUGACUAAAGAAUCGUCAUAUAGAGGUAUUGAAGGAUUUCAAUGCAGUCAUAGAACCAAUAGUUAAUACUCUGGAUCUCAUUCAAAAGGCCACUGAUCAAUGUACUCAACAAAUAAACACUUUUAUUGCUCAGACAAGUUCAAAUAGCAAUUUAGAGGAUUAACUCCACCAGUGCAUGCAACAUUUUAAUAAAUUAGCUCUGGAAGCUCUCAAGUCAUCACAGCAGAGUUCAGUGAAAGCAAAUGCUUCUGUGCAAACAAGUAUGUCACCAUCCCCUUCUGCUAUGGUGGAAACUCUGGUGGUGAAUACCAGAUUACAGUGACUCAAUUUAACAUUUCAUUAUGGACUUGGUGAUUCUGAGUUUAAUUCCACAAAUGAAUAUGUUACCGCUGAUGGUAGAGGACGUUUUUUGGGGAAACAGUCCAUUAAAAUCCAGUUUCCUUGCUUUGGUUGACUAGAAGACUGUGAUAAUCCUUUGAUCUUUCUGGAUGAUCUUUCUGAAAUGUUAUGAUUUCAUGGCUCUUCACCCUCUUUCAGAUGAAGAAUUAAUAGCAACCCUCAGGAGUGUGCUCCUGUUAUGAAGGGAGACUCAGGCAGGAGAUCCAACUGCAGCGUUUUAUUUAAGGUAAGCGUGGUCGUACAAGCAGGGUCAACCAGGAGCAAACAGGUACAGCAGAGGGUAGACAGAAUCGUAAUCCAGGUACAGGCAGAGGUCAGGGCUGCCAGAUAUCACUCACAGGUCGGUAUACAAAGCAAGGGUCAGGACAGGCAGGAACGGUAACAGCAAACAGGCAGACAGUAAACACAGGGGAACGCUCGGAAUUGCAACAACAGUUAACAAUACUUCGCGGUGAGGUGGUGUGUGUGGAAGUCCUUUAUAGUCCUGGUAAUGAGCUGCAGCUGGGUGUGGUGAUCAGUGUAGUGUGCUAGGCUGUAUGUGGCAACAGGCGAUUGGUGUGGAGUGAACAUGUGACUGACAGGGAGGAUUGUGGGAAGUGUAGUCUGGGAAUUGACAGGAGCAGACGGUGAUCGUGACAUAAUGCCCCCCUCCCGUCCUCGCGGCGUAAACGGGUGGGUGCAUUGGAGACCUGCAUGUAGACAGGAACGGGGUCCCCAAUGCAGGUCCAGGAACUCGGGCAGCCACGGAGGGUCAGGUGCCACAGAUGGCCAUGGCAGGUGUGGUGCCAUGGGCAGCCAUGGCGGGUCAGGUGCCAUGGGCAGCCAUGGCGGGUCAGGUGCCACGGGCGGCCACGGCGGGUCAGGAGUCUCUGGCGGCCACGGCGGGUCCGAUGGCUCAGGCAACCACGGCGGGUCAGGUGGUUCGGGCAGCCACGGCAGGUCAGGUGGCUCGGGCAGCCACGGCAGGUCAGGUGGCUUGGGCAGCCACGGCAGGUCAGGAGACUCGGGCAGUUCGGAGGCCGCUGAUGACCACGGCCGUGCAGGGCUCCCACCCACAAGCUCCCCACCCUUAGGUAUACUUCUUGGGGAAGUUCUUGGGGAAUUCAACGGGAGCCGUGGUGGGUUCAUGGGCAAGGAGCUCGGGCGGCGCUGGCAGAGCAAGGUGCUUGGGCGGCGUUGGCAGAGCAAGGCGCUUGGGCGGCGCUGGCAGAGCAAGGAGUUCAGGUGGUGCCGGCAGGGUAAUGAGCUCAGGUGGCGCCGGCAGGGUAAGGAUACUGGGCGGUGCUGACAGGGCUAGGAGCUUGGGCGGCACGGAAGAGACCUCUGGCGUGGUCUCCGGGCCCACAGCGGGCUCUGGGAAGGCCUCCGAGCCCUGAAAGAUGAAAGGAGUCUUCUUCCUCCCCCUCCUCCUCUUUCGUGCACGAGGCGGCGGCUCUGUGUUCACCUCCUCGGUGGACACUGCAGCGAGCUCAAGGGCUGAAGCGGACUCUGGAGCAGACUCAACGGCUGGAACGACCCCUACGUCCACAGACACCGAAGGGGCAGCCAUCUUGCCCGUGGGCACUGGCAAAGCAGCCAUCUUGUCCAUUGCGUCCAGGGCGCUUGAGUGCGUCGCAACUGGCGACCUUGAGUGCGUUGCAACCGGCGCACUUGAGAGCGUUGCAACUGACGAAAUUGAGAGCGUAGCAACCGGCAAGCUGGGGUGCGCAGCAGCCACCAGCCUUGAGUGCGAAGCGACCGGCUGGCUUGAGUGCGAAGCGGCCGGCUUGCUUGAGUGCAAAGCGGCCGGCUUGCUUGAGUGCAAAGCGGCCGGCUGGCUUGAGAGCGAAGCGGCCGGCUGGCUUGAGUGCGAAACGGCCGGCUGGCUUGAAAGCGAAGUGGCUGGUGGUUGCUUAGGAAUGCCAGCCGCUCGUACUGAAGUCAUCGGUGGAUCUGCCACACUGCAACGCAGUCCUCUCCGCUCCCUGGCUGAUCUAGAGACGGCAGCAGGUCGUUCUGGGACAGCAGCAGACUGCUUUGGGAAAACAGCGGGGACGUGACGUGACUCUGGGCGAUCAGCGGAGACAUGGCGUUGCUCUGGGCGAUCAGCGGAGACGUGACGUUGCUCUGGGCAGUCAGCGGAGACGUGACGUUGUGUUGUAGCAGCUGCCAUUUUGUGCACGCUGUCCGUAGCGGCCGCCAUUACGUGGCUCAAAGGGAUGUCGCAUUUCUCCGUGACCCCCACGGUGAAAGUCGAACCAACUGCGAGCAGUGCAAAGUCCAGGAAUUCCAUGAAUGAUCCUCGGGGACCAUUGGUAAGUUUUUAAUGGUUCAUUUAAUCCGUAACCAAAGAAGUCAAUGAGGGCAUAGUCCGGCAGAUCAGAUAAAUAGGCAACAUCCAGGAACUUCUGAAUAUGAUCCUCGAAGCUAGAGUUACCUUGGCGAAGGCCAACGAGACACCUUGCUGGGUCCAUGCUGAGGCUGAUAAUGCUCGUAGACGCUGCUGGAUCUUUGUAUGGCGAUGUAUUCUGUUAUGAAGGGAGACUCAGGCAGGAGAUCCAACUGCAGCGUUUUAUUUAAGGUAAGCGUGGUCGUACAAGCAGGGUCAACCAGGAGCAAACAGGUACAGCAGAGGGUAGACAGAAUCGUAAUCCAGGUACAGGCAGAGGUCAGGGCUGGCAGAUAUCACUCACAGGUCGGUAUACAAAGCAAGGGUCAGGACAGGCAGGAACGGUAACAGCAAACAGGCAGACAGUAAACACAGGGGAAUGCUCGGAAUUGCAACAACAGUUAACAAUACUUCGCGGUGAGGUGGUGUGUGUGGAAGUCCUUUAUAGUCCUGGUAAUGAGCUGCAGCUGGGUGUGGUGAUCAGUGUAGUGUGCUAGGCUGUAUGUGGCAACAGGUGAUUGGUGUGGAGUGAACAUGUGACUGACAGGGAGGAUUGUGGGAAGUGUAGUCCGGGAAUUGACAGGAGCAGACGGUGAUCGUGACAGCUCCAUGGAACAGACUGGUGGGAUGUUGCUCGACUUGAAACAACCACUUGGCAACAGGGACUGCUCUAGGCAUGGGCAGGGGUGGGCUGAGCCCACCAAACGUCUGCCUUGCUCACCCAAUCAGAAUUUAGGUACAGAUAGCGUAAAUUUUGUAUGAUUUGUGCAUUUAUGAAAAACAUUGAAGUUUGACGAAGGGCAGUAGAAUACCCAACCAAUAAAAGAAUAACAAGAAAAUUGCAGUAGGCUAUUUUUCUUUUCUUAGCUAAAAGAAUAAAGCGAGGCGCAUUAUGCACUCACGCGCCUCAGUGUGUAGCUGAAAAACAGGCUGAAAAUCACACAAGCCAAAAAGGAGCAGAAAAAUGUGUGUGCUAAUGUGCGAAUUACAGGGUGCUGUUGCUUAAAUCACUAUAUUAAUAUAUACAUUUAUAUCUCUGAUUGACUUUAAAGUGUCAUUUGGCCGCUGGCGCAUAAUAAAAUGGGUCAUAUGAGUUAAAAUUAAUUCAAGAACGUGUAUUUAUUGCAUGGAUGUAGCAAGAACAUAAUGUAAGUGUUUAAAAUGCUAAUGCAUUGUUUAUUUGAAACCUUGCACUCUUUUGCUUGCUUUUAAUUCUGUUAAACUGAAUGUACGAGGCAAACUGUCUGCUUAAAUAACACUGAAGUAAGAAUUCAUUGUUUAUCUUUCGACUAGUCACACAGAAAGCAUUUUUGUGGUUAAAAUUUUUUGGUUUUUGUGGACACCUUUUUUAAAAGUUGAACUUAUUUUAACUUAAGCGCUGCGUUUUUAGUACACCGUGUCAUACACAAGACGGUGCAAAGGAUGUGCGACAUGAGCGCAAAGGUCAAAAUCUGUCCACAGCGUGUUUAAACAAUGAAAAACAAUGGAAAAGUAGCACGAUGGAAUUGAUAAACAUGUUCUGUGUGAACGGCCCCAUUCUGCAUAAUUUAAGUUGUGUUCAUUACUAAAACAGUAGGAUUCCAACUCGUUUACUUUAUAAAUUGUCACUGGACAGUAGAAAAGUGAAAAUGGUAGCAUUUUAUGGAAAGUGAAAAUAAGAUAUAAACUUCCAUAUCAUGGAGAGGCAUGUUAUAAAAGUGUUCAGUUUAAACAGCCUAUCUAUCUAUCUAUCUAUCUAUCUAUCUAUCUAUUGAUCUAUCUAUCUAUCUUGUGUAUUAAAUUAAAAAUUAAAAAAAUGCCCACCCAGUAUAUCUGUCAGCCCACCCUUCUAUAGCUGCCAAGAACUGGGUCUGCUUGCCAGGAGUUUGAAUCCAAGUUUCUUUCUACUUUCUUGCCAGAAAGCUAGCAGAGAGUAAGAACAUGUGUAUAGCAGGAAGGUGAGGGCACACGAGUUUUUGCUUACAUGUACAGAGCUCUGUGCAAAUGUUGGAAGCCACAAAUUGAAGAGGAUGAAGUCAUUAAGCUGAUCUUGAAGAACAUCAAUCCUCAGAUGGCAAGUCAACUUCAAAGUAAUGGAGUUACUUCUGUUGAUGGUUUAGUCCGUCUUGGGCAACAGCUGGAAAAAGACAAGGAAAACCAGUUACAGUAUGAACAACGGAAAAAAACUUGGAAACUCAGAGUAACUAGUCCUGCUGUUGUUCAGUUUAAUAACCCAGUAAAGGCUCCAGUACCACAGGACUAUAAAACUCCCUUCUGUUGUUGGUGUAAGGGCCCCUCAUUCUCCAACUUCUUGUCCUCAGAGUGGUUUUGGUAAGAACAGAAACUAUAAAGGUCAGCAAAGUUCAAAUCCUGUUAAAGGUAACCAUGGUAACCAUUCUACUGUUAGCACUGUCAUUCAAAUGGAGUCUGUAUACUCACCUACUCAUCCUUUCUCUUCAUCUCUACCACAGCAGUUGAUUGUACCUGUAAACACUGACUCUUGGCAAGGCCAGGCUUUGCUCAUACCCUGGACUGAGGGUCCCUUUUAUCUGGCUGAUAGAGGAGCCCAUCAGCCAUUUCCCACCCUGGAUCUGAACAGUGGAUAUUGACAGGUUCGAAUGGAAGAGGACAGUCAAAAUAAAACUGCCUUCAUAUGCAGUCAGGGGCUAUUCCAUUUCAAGGUCAUGGCUUUUGGCCUCAAAAAUGCAUGGAGAGAAUCCUUGGAGAGCUACAGGGAAAGAACUGUUUUGUCUAUUUGGACGAUAUAACUCCACGAUCCACUCUCCAUCAGUGGAACAGCACUUCCAGGAAAUCCAGGCUGUUUUGGAUAAAUUGAAAGAGGCCCAACUGACUGUUAAUAUGAAGAAAACACAUUUCUUCCAUACCUCUCAGAAGUUUCUUGGCCACAUUGUGACUGCUACAGGAAUUAAAGCUGAUCCAGAAAAAAACUGAGCAGUUCAGAAUUUCCUGUGCCAAAGAACAUAAAGGAAGUCCAGAGAUUUUUAGGCAUGGCUGGUUGGUAUCAUAGGUUUGUAACACAAUUUGGACUUUGCAAUGUCAAGCUUCCUUUCAAGCUCAAACAGUUCUUUGUGUUCUACUUUAACAUCCUAAUAUGAAUCUACCACUCAUUGUGCACACUGAUGCAAGUGAAGUUGGCUUAGGCGCUGUCCUGGUUAAAGGGUCGACCGAUUGAUCGGCCGGCCAAGUAAUCAGGACGAUUUUUGGCAUAUUUAAAUUUAAUCUGCAUUGGCUGUUUGUGCUGCAAAUUAGGCAAAUUAAUAGGCAGGAGCAUCUGCAAGCAGCUGAGCGUUGUUGUGGAACACGUGACGCUGCCUCAAGGAGAUUGCCAUUCGACCGGCAUAACUCUGUGAUGUCCCCUUCUGCCUUCUAACUUUUUAUGGAGAACUACCUGGGAACUUCCCAAGAAAAUGAUGCUGACAUCUUUAGUCCAGACCCUAGUUACCUUUGUCUGGAUGACAUGGGUCACUCACAGCAAGAUGGCGACGGCAGCCAGGAGGCAUUAAGUAUACCUUGCGGAGCUCCUCCUGAAGACUCCCACGGCGAUUUAUUGGCCCUGUCCCAAAUGGCACACUUCUAUGCACUUUCGGGCUUGUGGAAUGGCUGCUGCAUGCGCGUGUCCGUUAAGUCCACGAGAAGGGUGCUCGCAAGCGCCCCUUUUGCAGCCGAUAUGCACCCUCAAUGUGCAGUUUUGCUGAGCCCACACUGGUGUGAGCAUCGCGACAGACUUCUUCCUGACAGUCAAAGUGGCGUUACGUCAUGAAAGUGCGGACUUGUAGACCGUGAGUGUUUAAGGUGUAAUUUGGGAUGCAGCCAUUGUUUUAUCCGUGGCAAAGUGUGCUUAUCAUUGGAGUGUUACAUCGCACUUCCUGGAUUUCGCAAAGGAAAGUAUCCCCGACAUUAUGUGACUAGCAGACAGUCGUUGAGAUGCUGCAUGGAAAACAGUAAUGCAAGUGUGGAGUUCCAAAACCUGAAUUGGACUGACAGAGUUGGAGCCUCCAGUCUUGUAUAUACCAAUGCCUAAAAAGUCCCAGAAAAUGUGUACCAAACUAUUAAAAAAAGGAGUUGUGAGUACAAUUUAGCCUGCUGUGGAUGACUGUUUGACUUAACUGUUGACUGUUUUGAUAGGGGGAAUUUAUUAUUAUUUUUUUUUUUCGCCUACUAUUUUGACAAUUUUAACUCUUUUUGCUGUUGUUUGGAAUAAUUGGUAACACUUUACAAUA